Molecule: microRNA, 21 nt
Filed under: Paeonia lactiflora (Chinese peony)
Lineage: Eukaryota; Viridiplantae; Streptophyta; Magnoliopsida; Saxifragales; Paeoniaceae
Description: pla-miR11612
Source: miRBase by way of RNAcentral
AAGACGGUCCAAAACGCCCAC